This 193-nucleotide unclassified non-coding RNA is filed under the name Rozellomycota sp. RNAcentral describes it as "Cryptomycota sp. partial contains small subunit ribosomal RNA, internal transcribed spacer 1, and 5.8S ribosomal RNA". The stretch from base 1 to 47 matches the Rfam family "Eukaryotic small subunit ribosomal RNA", at positions 1785 to 1831 of the family's 1831-position model. Lineage: Eukaryota; Fungi; Rozellomycota. The record is from RNAcentral.
AAAGUCGUAACAAGGUUUCCGUAGGUGAACCUGCGGAAGGAUCAUUAACAAAUCGGUUGUGUAGAAAGGUGUUUGAUAAGGCUAUGGCUUUAUCAUUCUCUUUCUAAACACACAUUUACGCUUGUAUUGUUUGACAGAGUAAAUUUUAUAUUUAAAUCAGAGACAACUUUUAACAAUGGAUCUCUUGGCUCUU